RNA transcript from Onychostoma macrolepis, 1859 nucleotides. It is a transcript of the gene named zinc finger protein 32-like, with no coding region annotated. The transcript is spliced from 5 exons. Lineage: Eukaryota; Metazoa; Chordata; Actinopteri; Cypriniformes; Cyprinidae. The record is from RefSeq and is a predicted model, not a curated record.
UUGGAGUUAAAGUGUUACAUCUUUUCCACUGUUUGGACACAGAGACAAGCAUAACUGAUCUCUGAGGUAGCUCUUCGGUUCAUAACACGGGACUGUUUAAAAUAAUUAUGUUCAAACUUUGAUCUGCCGGAAAUCUACACGAGAAUAAAGAGGACUUUUAUUUUGGUGUGGCUACAUGACGUCACACGCCGUCUGUUGUUGUUUGAUGCAAACUGUUCAGAUUUAAGUAUAGUUUUUUUUUACAAGAACUGUAAAUUGAAUGAAUUUAUAUGGCGUGUAACAUGAUAACACUUUAUCCAACAUUAGUGUUAUUUUUAUGAGUAAAGCGGAUCCACGCGCGAGUAACAGAUGCUUAUUAUCAUCGUGAAUCAGUUUAUCAUUAACAGUUACCCAGUCGCUGGCCAGAAGUGAUGAGAGAAACGGAGCUUUAAAACUCAACCGAACCGAUCGAAUCAGUCUGUCACAACAGUGUAAACACAACGAAACAUUCCCGCUGAAGCGACUGAGAUCCACGUGACGCUUCCUAUAAAGAUGGCCUUUAUUAAACAGGAGAGUGAAGACAUAAAGAUUUUCGAAGUAUUCAGCAUGAAACAAGAAGAUGCUGAGGAACAAACAGAACUGAUAACACUGAAAGAGGAAAAAGAAGAACUGAAAGAAAUAGAAGAGAAAAAUCACAAUGAGAGACGUGAUUUCAUACACACUGAAACAAAUUCGGUUCGGAAGACUAAAUCUAUAAGAAACUUCCCUUGCCAUCAAUGUGGAAGGAUUUUCACACUAAAAGGAAACCUUAAUUUACACAUGAGAAUUCACACUGGAGAGAGGCCUUUCACAUGUCAACAGUGUGGAAAAAGCUUUGUUAAAAAAGGAAACCUUGAUGAACACAUGCAUGUUCACACUGGAGAGAAGUCUUUCAUCUGCAAACUGUGUGGAGAUAGUUUCUUACGAGCAGGACAUCUUACGAUACACUUGAGAAUUCACACUGGAGAGAAGCUCUUCAAACGAGAGUUUCAGUCAUAAAACACAUGAAAAGUCACACAGAUGUGACUACUCUGGACCACUGCUGCCAUGUUGUUUCAGUUUACACCAGAGGUCCUUCAAACUCGAUCUCGUUGUAGCAGCACUUCGCACAGAAAAUCAAGAAAUAAAAGAGAAAAUUUCAUGGCUGCAGAAAAAUCCAUACCGGUGAUACAAAGAAGACCAAAUCCAACAGUUAGGCUACUUCACCUGCCAUCAACGUGGACAGAGUUUCAACAUCAUUUUUGUGAACACAUUCUGGAAAGAAACUGCAGUACUCAGAGAGUGGAAAGAGGAUUAAAAAUAGGAGUCAUUUAAAAAGUAGCCCAUGCAUUCACUCGGGAGGAAGGCAAUUUAAUUGUUUAAUUUCUUUUGCCGUCACACUUAAAGCCAAUCCACACCGCACCGACAGAUGCAGACCAAUGUCGACAGCCAACAGAGUACAGUACGUCCCUUCUCAGACAAACAGUGAUUCAACAUGUUCAGUCAGCGAAAUCUGUGAAAUUAAAGUUACGUUCACACUAAAGCUGAAUGUGGCCCAAAUCUGAUUGUCCACCUUCAUAAUCUGCAUUCUUUGCCUCUUUAUAAUUUUGACUUUUUUUGGCUUUUUAUUUUUUGUCUUGUACAUAAGAACUUCUGUGAUUGCACAAGACCAUCUGCUUUGCUAUAAUUCAGUUGUUCUCAAACUCUUUUUUUUCCCAAGACACCUUUGUGACUACAAAAUUAAUCUUUUAAACUUUGCAGAUUUUUACAUUUUCAAACCCUGAAAAAGCUAAUAUACAAAAAAGCUUAAUUAAACUUUUGUGACUUCUGUCUUUCUUAGACAAAUGCAGCAAUGUAAAUGA